Molecule: non-coding RNA, 1153 nt
Organism: Cajanus cajan (pigeon pea)
Lineage: Eukaryota; Viridiplantae; Streptophyta; Magnoliopsida; Fabales; Fabaceae
Source: RefSeq, a predicted model, not a curated record
ACUCACUCGGUGCUUUUUCUUCGCAAACAACCCAAAGAAUCCACUCCCACACUUUCAGUUUGGCACUUACUCUUUUCUUCCUCUUUGCUCUCACCGGGAACCCUAAGUCGAUCUGCCGGAACUCAAAUCCACCGGGAUUUGGUUUUUCUGUGAAUAUCAAUCUAUUCUUCAUCCCUGUUGAUCAAGAAUGCAAUUCUUUGGGGGGUCUGAGAUAAGUCCUUCACCUCCUGCUCCAACAGCUUCAGGAAACAAUGGCCAUAUGAUGUAUGUGUUCAACAGGAAUGGUGUGUGCCUGCUCUAUAGGGAGUGGAAUCGCCCCUUGCGGACAUUGGAUGCUCAGCAAGACCAUAAGUUAAUGUUUGGUCUGCUUUUCUCUCUGAAGUCAUUAACUGCCAAGAUGGACCCCACCAGUGCUGUUGAGAAAGGAAACCUUGGUAUGCCUCAGUUACCUGGUCAAGGUUGUUCAUUUCACAGUUUCCGCACUAAUACAUACAAACUUAGUUUCAUGGAAAGUCCUUCUGGCAUAAAGAUCAUCUUGGUGACUCAUCCUAGAACUGGUGAUCUACGGGAAUCCUUAAAGUAUAUCUACAAUUUGUAUGUUGAAUAUGUUGUCAAGAAUCCACUCUAUACACCUGGAUCUCCUAUUAGUAAAUCAGCAUAGAACCUACCCCCCUACUCACCAGUAACUAUUGCCUCCUAACUAGGCCAACUACUUGUGGACACACCCUUUUAUGCUCUACUGCUAUGCUCCAUUGGUUGUCAGCUAGCCAGUGGACUAGUACGGCCAUAAUCCAGUUCAUACCAUUGGCUAGUGGGUGUGAGCUGUUCAAUACAACGUUGGACCAGUAUGUGAGAGGCAUUGCAUAGAAGCUGAGUUGCUUCCGUUCAACACCGUGGAUGACUUGGAUGGUAUAAUGCCCUGUUUUGUGUAGUGGUCACUGCAUUUCUAGUCAGAAACUUUUAGGGAGAUCCCUAAAGUUUGAGCAAUACCUUCUUUUUUUUUCCAUUUCAUUAAUUUUAUUUUACUCCUACGACUUGUGUGACUCAUUCCAAUAUAUAUAAUAAACUCAAGAUACUUAAAUCAUGUGACUUAUGAUAAGGAUAUUGACACCGACUCUUGGAUAUGGUCAAUAAAUACCUUCGAAAGAUAAAA